RNAcentral lists this non-coding RNA (24 nucleotides) under Cricetulus griseus (Chinese hamster). The record is from RNAcentral. Lineage: Eukaryota; Metazoa; Chordata; Mammalia; Rodentia; Cricetidae.
GUCUGAACUGACCAGGGUAAGGGA